Molecule: ribosomal RNA, 232 nt
Filed under: Bifidobacterium callitrichidarum
Lineage: Bacteria; Bacillati; Actinomycetota; Actinomycetes; Bifidobacteriales; Bifidobacteriaceae
Description: partial 16S ribosomal RNA
Rfam family: Bacterial small subunit ribosomal RNA
Source: RNAcentral
UGGGCGUAAGGGCUCGUAGGCGGUUCGUCGCGUCCGGUGUGAAAGUCCAUCGCUUAACGGUGGAUCUGCGCCGGGUACGGGCGGGCUGGAGUGCGGUAGGGGAGACUGGAAUUCCCGGUGUAACGGUGGAAUGUGUAGAUAUCGGGAAGAACACCAAUGGCGAAGGCAGGUCUCUGGGCCGUUACUGACGCUGAGGAGCGAAAGCGUGGGGAGCGAACAGGAUUAGAUACCC